Molecule: transfer RNA, 77 nt
Filed under: Oscillospiraceae bacterium
Lineage: Bacteria; Bacillati; Bacillota; Clostridia; Eubacteriales; Oscillospiraceae
Description: tRNA-Pro
Rfam family: tRNA
About the family: Transfer RNA (tRNA) molecules are approximately 80 nucleotides in length. Their secondary structure includes four short double-helical elements and three loops (D, anti-codon, and T loops). Further hydrogen bonds mediate the characteristic L-shaped molecular structure. tRNAs have two regions of fundamental functional importance: the anti-codon, which is responsible for specific mRNA codon recognition, and the 3' end, to which the tRNAs corresponding amino acid is attached (by aminoacyl-tRNA synthetases). tRNAs cope with the degeneracy of the genetic code in two manners: having more than one tRNA (with a specific anti-codon) for a particular amino acid; and 'wobble' base-pairing, i.e. permitting non-standard base-pairing at the 3rd anti-codon position.
Source: RNAcentral
CCGGGUGUGGCGCAGAUUGGUAGCGCGCUACCUUGGGGUGGUAGAGGCCGCAAGUUCAAAUCUUGUCACUCGGACCA